RNAcentral lists this ribosomal RNA (451 nucleotides) under uncultured bacterium. RNAcentral's name for it is "partial 16S ribosomal RNA". It matches the Rfam family "Bacterial small subunit ribosomal RNA", at positions 354 to 796 of the family's 1533-position model. The record is from RNAcentral.
GUGGGGAAUAUUGGACAAUGGGGGGAACCCUGAUCCAGCCAUGCCGCGUGUGUGAAGAAGGCCUUUUGGUUGUAAAGCACUUUAAGCGAGGAGGAGGCUACCGAGAUUAAUACUCUUGGAUAGUGGACGUUACUCGCAGAAUAAGCACCGGCUAACUCUGUGCCAGCAGCCGCGGUAAUACAGAGGGUGCAAGCGUUAAUCGGAUUUACUGGGCGUAAAGCGCGCGUAGGUGGCCAAUUAAGUCAAAUGUGAAAUCCCCGAGCUUAACUUGGGAAUUGCAUUCGAUACUGGUUGGCUAGAGUAUGGGAGAGGAUGGUAGAAUUCCAGGUGUAGCGGUGAAAUGCGUGGAGAUCUGGAGGAAUACCGAUGGCGAAGGCAGCCAUCUGGCCUAAUACUGACACUGAGGUGCGAAAGCAUGGGGAGCAAACAGGAUCAGAAACCCUGGUAGUCC